Molecule: long non-coding RNA, 427 nt
Organism: Mirounga angustirostris (Northern elephant seal)
Lineage: Eukaryota; Metazoa; Chordata; Mammalia; Carnivora; Phocidae
Exons: 3
Source: RefSeq, a predicted model, not a curated record
GUUCCUGCUCACAGACCUUGGGGACUGGAGGUCCUCAAGGAGCACGUUAUGACCGUUGCGGAGAGGUCCCCAGACCACCCUGCCCGAGGGGACACGUGCCGACCCACCGUGUGCAGAGAGGCUCCUUCCCAGAGCCCAAGGGGACAGAGAAAAAAGGUGAGGUUCAGAGAGCAAGAGACCGACCUUUGAGCCCACCCACAGUGAAGUUCCUCUUGCUGGAUGACCAGACCGAGGGUGCACGUUCCCUUCCUUGGACCCCACACCAAGAACUCCCACCUAUAGGAAGGCAUCUUGGAGCGUGGCAGCAAGAAGCUGCAGGGAAAAACGCAAAAAGCCAACCCACUCAAGGCCUGGGAACUAGGAAGAAGGAUAAAGUUCCCUGGGGCAGGAGGCUGGGGAUGGGGCCGGGGGUGUCCAGCGAGGAGUG